GAAAGAAAGAUUCCAUUUAAAUCCACUAAAGGUCAUCUUUCUUUGAAAUAUAGAUUACUCAUCUGCACAUUUUGAAGAAGCAAAGACUGGAGAAUAAACUCAAGAGAAACAGCUCUCCCUCCUCACUGACAAAAUACUGACAAAAUGUGAAAUCUUCUCGACUUCUGAAGAGUUUUCUGCAGUUAGAACUCAUAAGGUCACACAUGAUCUUCUGUAUUAUCAAGAAAACAAUAAGUGUGCAUCAGCGUGUGCAGAGCUCUAUUGAAAUGUGUGGAACAACGACAGUCUACUCAUCAAUCAAACUAUCCUGGAAGGUAGAGGUCUUUAUUUCAACAAAAUCAUUAAAAACACUAAGUUGUGAGCUGAGUGAAA
Molecule: long non-coding RNA, 372 nt
Organism: Lagopus muta (rock ptarmigan)
Lineage: Eukaryota; Metazoa; Chordata; Aves; Galliformes; Phasianidae
Exons: 3
Source: RefSeq, a predicted model, not a curated record